RNAcentral lists this ribosomal RNA (438 nucleotides) under uncultured Clostridium sp. Its description in RNAcentral is "bacterial SSU rRNA". It matches the Rfam family "Bacterial small subunit ribosomal RNA", at positions 958 to 1392 of the family's 1533-position model. The record is from RNAcentral. Lineage: Bacteria; Bacillati; Bacillota; Clostridia; Eubacteriales; Clostridiaceae.
AACGCGAAGAACCUUACCAGGAUUUGACAUCCAACUAACGAAGUAGAGAUACAUUAGGUACCCUUCGGGGGAAGUUGAGACAGGUGGUGCAUGGUUGUCGUCAGCUCGUGUCGUGAGAUGUUGGGUUAAGUCCCGCAACGAGCGCAACCCCUAUUUCUAGUUGCCAGCAUGUAAAGAUGGGAACUCUAGAGAGACUGCCGGUGAUAAAUCGGAGGAAGGUGGGGACGAUGUCAAAUCAUCAUGCCCUUUAUGUCCUGGGCUACACACGUACUACAAUGGCUAUAACAAAGAGAAGCGAAAUAGUGAUAUGGAGCGAAACCCAAAAAAAUAGUCUCAGUCCGGAUUGAAGGCUGAAAUUCGCCUUUAUGAAGCUGGAAUUGCUAGUAAUGGCAGGUCAGCAUACUGCCGUGAAUACGUUCCCGGGUCUUGUACACACCG